GACGAACGCUGGCGGCGUGCUUAACACAUGCAAGUCGAACGGUGACCCAGGGCUUGCCCUGGUGAUCAGUGGCGAACGGGUGAGUAACACGUGGGCAACCUGCCCCUGACUUCGGGAUAACUCCUCGAAAGAGGAGCUAAUACCGGAUACGACCACUUCGGACAUCCGAUGGUGGUGGAAAGUUCUUCGGUCAGGGAUGGGCCCGCGGCCUAUCAGCUAGUUGGUGGGGUAAUGGCCUACCAAGGCGACGACGGGUAGCCGGCCUGAGAGGGCGACCGGCCACACUGGGACUGAGACACGGCCCAGACUCCUACGGGAGGCAGCAGUGGGGAAUAUUGCGCAAUGGGCGAAAGCCUGACGCAGCGACGCCGCGUGAGGGAUGAAGGCCUUCGGUUGGUAAACCUACUUUCUAGCAGGGACGAAGCGAAAGUAGACGGUACCUGCAGAAGAAGCACCGGCUAACUACGUAGCCAGCAGCCGCGGUAA
Molecule: ribosomal RNA, 486 nt
Filed under: uncultured bacterium
Lineage: Bacteria
Description: bacterial SSU rRNA
Rfam family: Bacterial small subunit ribosomal RNA
Source: RNAcentral